AUUGAACGCUGGCGGCAGGCCUAACACAUGCAAGUCGAGCGGAGCGGAGGACGGGUGAGUAAUGCCUAGGAAUCUGCCUGGUAGUGGGGGAUAACGUCCGGAAACGGGCGCUAAUACCGCAUUCUAUCAGAUGAGCCUCGGUCGGAUUAGCUUGGGGGUGGGGUAAAGGCCUACCAAGGCGACGAUCCGUCACUGGUCUGAGAGGAGGAUCAGUCACACUGGAACUGAGACACGGUCCAGACUCCUACGGGAUGCAGCAGUGGGGAAGAUUGGACAAGGGGCGAAAGCCUGAUGCAGCCAGGCCGCGUGGGUGAAGAAGGUCUUCGGAUUGUAAAGCACUUUAAGUUGGGAGGCGUUACCAACAGAAUAAGCACCGGCUAACUUCGUGCCAGCAGCCGCGGUAAUAC
RNAcentral lists this ribosomal RNA (407 nucleotides) under uncultured bacterium. RNAcentral describes it as "partial 16S ribosomal RNA". It matches the Rfam family "Bacterial small subunit ribosomal RNA", at positions 30 to 526 of the family's 1533-position model. The record is from RNAcentral.